Molecule: ribosomal RNA, 498 nt
Filed under: uncultured bacterium
Lineage: Bacteria
Description: partial 16S ribosomal RNA
Rfam family: Bacterial small subunit ribosomal RNA
Source: RNAcentral
GACGAACGCUGGCGGCGUGCCUAAUACAUGCAAGUCGAGCGGACGAAUCGAAAGCUUGCUUUUGAUUCGUUAGCGGCGGACGGGUGAGUAACACGUGGGCAACCUGCCCUGUAGACGGGGAUAACACCGAGAAAUCGGUGCUAAUACCGGAUAACACGAAAUGUCGCAUGACGUUUCGUUGAAAGACGGCGCAAGCUGUCGCUACAGGCUAGGCCCGCGGCGCAUUAGGUAGUUGGUGAGGUAACGGCUCACCAAGGCGACGAUGCGUAGCCGACCUGAGGGGGUGAUCGGCCACACUGGGACUGAGACACGGCCCAGACUCCUACGGGAGGCAGCAGUAGGGAAUCUUCCGCAAUGGACGAAAGUCUGACGGAGCAACGCCGCGUGAGCGAAGAAGGCCUUCGGGUCGUAAAGCUCUGUUGUUAGGGAAGAACAAGUAACGCAGUAACUGGCGUUACCGUGACGGUACCUAACGAGAAAGCCACGGCUAACUACGUG